UACGUAGGGUGCGAGCGUUGUCCGGAAUUACUGGGCGUAAAGAGCUCGUAGGUGGUUUGUCGCGUUGUCCGUGAAAACUCACAGCUUAACUGUGGGCGUGCGGGCGAUACGGGCAGACUGGAGUACUGCAGGGGAGACUGGAAUUCCUGGUGUAGCGGUGGAAUGCGCAGAUAUCAGGAGGAACACCGGUGGCGAAGGCGGGUUGCUGGGCCGACACUGACGCUGAGGCGCGAAAGCUAGGGGAGCGAACGGG
This 253-nucleotide ribosomal RNA is filed under the name uncultured bacterium. Its description in RNAcentral is "partial 16S ribosomal RNA". It matches the Rfam family "Bacterial small subunit ribosomal RNA", at positions 524 to 776 of the family's 1533-position model. The record is from RNAcentral.